RNAcentral lists this ribosomal RNA (495 nucleotides) under uncultured bacterium. Its description in RNAcentral is "bacterial SSU rRNA". It matches the Rfam family "Bacterial small subunit ribosomal RNA", at positions 28 to 511 of the family's 1533-position model. The record is from RNAcentral.
GAUGAACGCUAGCGGCAGGCUUAACACAUGCAAGUCGAGGGGCAGCAUGGGACGGAGAUUCGUCGAAGUCCUGAUGGCGACCGGCGCAAGGGUGCGUAACGCGUGAGCAACUUGCCCGUUUCUGGGGAAUAACCGGUGGAAACGCCGACUAAUACCCCAUGGCAUCAAUGAGAGGCAUCUUUUGUUGAUUAAAGAAUUUCGGAAACGGAUAGGCUCGCGUGACAUUAGCUAGAUGGCGGGGUAACGGCCCACCAUGGCGACGAUGUCUAGGGGUUCUGAGAGGAAGGUCCCCCACACUGGAACUGAGACACGGUCCAGACUCCUACGGGAGGCAGCAGUGAGGAAUAUUGGUCAAUGGUCAGACGACUGAACCAGCCAUGCCGCGUGAAGGUCACGGCCCUAUGGGUCUUAAACUUCUUUGUUAGGGAGCAAUAAGGCGUACGUGUACGUCGAUGAGAGUACCUAACGAAUAAGCAUCGGCUAACUCCGUGCCAG